RNAcentral lists this long non-coding RNA (1970 nucleotides) under Pelobates cultripes (western spadefoot toad). The record is from RNAcentral. Lineage: Eukaryota; Metazoa; Chordata; Amphibia; Anura; Pelobatidae.
GUAAAAUAUUAAAAUAUUUUUUAUAAUAUUCAAUAAUUUAAAAAGUUUAUCCAAAAACAUUAGAUUAACUGAAAAGAUUAUCCAAAAAUCUUAAAUCAAGGCCACAGUGCCUAAACCAGGUGAGGUGAGUAAUAAGUUAUCAAACUACUGUAUCAAGGCAGACCUUAGAAGUUCAAUGUCCUGAAAAUCCUUCAGGACUUUAUGUAUCCACGUGGACACCUAGUCAAUGUGUGUUGGCUGCCCUCAUAGGUAAAUGCCAAUACAUGUUGGGUUUCCUUUUGUAAGGAAAUAGGAAAGAAGGCUUAAAAUGGAUUAUAAUAUAAAAAGAAUCAGUGUCCGUGAUUGUAGCUGGAUUAGGAAUCAGUAGACAAAUGGGUCCUACAAUAGCAUUAAUGGCUCUGCAAUCUUGAAUAAAGUGGUUCUAGUGAUACUGCCCUUCAGUGGAGGAUUUCUUGAUGGUAUGGUGUUUUAAAGGCCGAAUUGUUGUAUUGAUCUAAUAAAUGUUGUAUAAUGAGAAUAAUUCUCUUUAGUGAUUCCUGAAUAAGAGGGUAUGUGAUAUUUUGGGCACUUAAACAUUAUUACUGGUCCAGCUGAGGGGAUUUGUCCUAUCAUAGUAGAUGGUAAUCAUUGCAAAAUUGCCUCAUCUUUGGAUGCCAUUAUUAGGCAAGAGUUGUAAUCACUAGAGACAAAUAUUGGUUCCAAAGUGUCAUUCACCAAAUCAUGAUGUACAUCAGCGAUGACUUGAUAGAUCCCAUCAGGAGGGUAUUAAAUCAGUCCAACUUUGAUAAUAGAUUUUUGCCUAAAAGUGUGUAGGGGCAUGUGAAGCUUAAUAAUAAGGAUUUUUCUUCUUUUCAUUAGUGGAAUAUUAAUUUAGAUAGUUUGCUGAAGAGUGUUGAGGACAAUAUUGUUAGAUGUGUCAAUCAAAAAGGAUUCAUUUUGUUAUUCAGUUCCCAAGUUACAAUGGGACUUUCUUUGUUUACAGUAACUAGCAGUGCACAUGGUUCAUUAUGUCAUUGUGAAUCAGCAAGAGCAUUCAGACAGAAAGGGGAGAGAGGGGGAGGAAAAAUAUAUUAACUGUCUCCUUCCUUUUUUAGUCUCUCCUGUUGUGUAUCCAUCCCAUCUUGUUGUAAGGUUCUGAACUCUUGGGCAAAGAGACCAAUCUUCCAUACAUGAAACAUUAUCCUUGGUGUAUUACUUUUAACCCUUCCCCAGAUUCUUCCGUGUGACUUUCCUGUUAUAGAACUUUAAAGGGACACUAUAGUCACCAAAACAACUUUACCUCAAUGAAACAGUUUGUGUACAGUGGUGCAUAGAUCAUGUACCUGCAGUCUGACUGCUCAAUUCUCUGUCAUUUAGGAGUUAAAUCACUUUGUUUAUGAACCCUAGUCACACCUCCCUGCAUGUGACUUGCACAGUCUUCAUAAAUACUUCCUGUAAAGAGUCAUCUAAUGCUUAUCCUUCCUUUAUUGCAAGUUCUGUUUAAUUUAGAUUUUCUUAUCCCCUGCUAUGUUAAAAGCCUGCUAGAACCUGCAAGAGCCUCUUGUAUGUGAUUAAAGUUCAAUUUGCAGUGAAAGAGAUACAAUUGUUUAGCGUAAAUUACAUCUGAUUGAAAGUGAAACCAGUUUUUUUUUUCAUGCAAGCUGUGUCAAUCAGGUGUGGCAAUAGUUGCAGAAACAGAAACAAAGUGACUUAACUCCUAAAUGGUAGUGAACUGAGCAAUGAAACCUGAGAGGCAUGAUCUAUACAUGAAAACUGCUUCAUUAAGCUAAAGUUUUUUAGGUGACUAUAGUGUCCCUUUAACUAAGCAGCCAUAAGAUUUGAAUACAGGCAUUUCUUUUUGAUAGAAAUUAAUUUAACAUUGGCACCAAUGUAAUAUUCUUGGAUAAAUAUUUGUAAGUGUAUCCAAUAAUUGGCAAUGUCUACAGAUUUUGUAUAUGUAUCAACAAUAAAACCAAUAUAACACAUUACAA